Molecule: long non-coding RNA, 1293 nt
Organism: Macrobrachium nipponense
Lineage: Eukaryota; Metazoa; Arthropoda; Malacostraca; Decapoda; Palaemonidae
Exons: 3
Source: RefSeq, a predicted model, not a curated record
GCUAUUCAGCGGUGGUGGUGAGACACAGCAGUUACUAGUUGCUGGUCGGUGCACACACGUGCUCCUUCUAAACCCCGAGAGAGAGAGAGAGAGUGGUGAUAUCUCCUCACCGUUUCCUGCCAUUUUCAUUGCAGUUUAUUUAAAUACUCUUUUCUCCUUUUUGAGUUUGCGAGGGUUGGACAGCAGAGACCCACAUUAGGAUCAGAAACCGUUGUUCUGAAAUGAUGCAAUUUGAAAUUGCCUGUAUGCAAGAGAGAGGGAGCAUGAAAGUUAAAAGACGUGUGUUCGUCCAAGCACAUGCGACACACACACCUACUGUACAUGCUUACAUACACACCCAUACAAUCAGGCCUGGAUGCAGCUCGACGUUGUCGAUACACUGAAUGGAUCACGUAAACAGAAACGGUUUCCAUACGAAGUAUAUUGUGUGUGCAAAGAAUAAUAAAAAACUUUAAUGAACAUAACAGAGACGAACGAGAUUUGUGAGUAAUAGCGUUGAAAUUGCACGAAAAGGAAAAGCACCUCUUUGUAACGAUUCCCAGAGCAAACUUUCUGCUGCAAGGCGGUUGGAAACUUUAGUGACGUAUUUGUGUAUAGGAGUGUUUGAUAACGAUUAACUCUAUAGUUAUCGGUACUUGAACUACGAGAGAAAAUCGAGAGAAUCUAAUAAACGAAAAGAACGUUUCAAGAAUAGAAGAAGAAGAAGGAGAAGGGAGAAGAAACUGGUGCGUGAAAAGUUUUUUCAUCCUUUUUUUUUUUUUUUUUUUGGUGGGCUGUUAUUUACCCGGAAUUCCAAAGCACCUGGCCUCCGUUCUCUUUGGGAAUCUGCCUCCUGAAGUUGCCUCCACGAAAAAUGACCCGCAAGAAGCUGCCUGAAGGAGAUCGGGCAUCCUGUUUCGUCCUGUCGUUCAUCGUAGGACUUUGGCUGUGCACCCUCGUGCAACAGGUCACUACGACCGGAGCGGAACACUUUAAGGCAAUGAAAGACGACUCUGUACACACGUAAACAGCCUGUUUCUCCGAAACUUCCGUCAGUUACUCACAAAUGUCUACUGGAAAUUCGUGAUCAAGUCCAACCUCUCUUUAACCUCUUCCAUGCAAUGUUUCUGGCCCAAAUAGUUUUCGUUGGGGAGUCAUCAAAGAAGAUAUUUAUUACCAUUGCACUUAAUAAAUAAAUCAGUCAAUCAAUAAACAUAUUUUAUGAGAGUUUUAAGGCCUCUUAACUACAUUGGUCAAGAGUGCCAGCCAAUGCCGCUCACCAACCACUAACGACCUUGACAGUAAAGACAUUAC